RNAcentral lists this ribosomal RNA (253 nucleotides) under uncultured bacterium. Its description in RNAcentral is "partial 16S ribosomal RNA". It matches the Rfam family "Bacterial small subunit ribosomal RNA", at positions 524 to 776 of the family's 1533-position model. The record is from RNAcentral.
UACGGGGGGGGCAAGCGUUGUUCGGAAUUACUGGGCGUAAAGGGCUCGUAGGCGGCCAACUAAGUCAGACGUGAAAUCCCUAGGCUCAACCUAGGAACUGCGUCUGAUACUGGAUGGCUUGAAUCCGGGAGAGGGAUGCGGAAUUCCAGGUGUAGCGGUGAAAUGCGUAGAUAUCUGGAGGAAUACCGGUGGCGAAGGCGGCCUCCUGGCUCGACACUGACGCUGAGGUGCGAAAGCGUGGGGAUCAAACAGG